Non-coding RNA from Momordica charantia (bitter melon), 556 nucleotides. The record is from RefSeq and is a predicted model, not a curated record. NCBI's taxonomy places the organism in Eukaryota, Viridiplantae, Streptophyta, Magnoliopsida, Cucurbitales, Cucurbitaceae.
AUCAGAGAAGAAACAACACCACCCCCAAAAUUUCCAAUCACCGUCUGCGACGCUAGUUGGACUGAGCAGGGCAGUAAAAUUUGAAAAACCCUCGAUUCAGGGUUUAUUUUGCUCAUUCUCCAAUCUCUUCAUCGAUCUCUCGUAGGCGAAAAUGGCGAAAGAGCAACAGUCAGCCCCAGGUCCCUGGAUCCCUGAUGCAAUACCUUUCAUCCUUGUUCUCAUCAUAGCAGCUCAUGUCUUCGCUYUGGUAUACUGGAUUUAUAGGCUAGCAACCCAAAAACAACCUCCGAGGAGGAAGGCGCACUGAGUUACUGUAUGAUUCAUUCCCYAAAGAAACUCUAGUCAAACCCUAAUUCGUUAAUUGUUAUGUGACACUGAUGUUAAUUAGGCGGUCGAAAGGAGCCAUUUACCAAUGUUUCAGUCGCUGUAAGUAUCGUACUUUGGUACUGUAAGAAUGUAGCAAAUUUUCUUGCAUUUAAAUUUGUAUUUGUAUGGAUUUUCAAUUCAUGAAACUAUUAGAGGAGCCACAUAUUUGUGUCUUGUUUGGUGUUGGUUA